Molecule: non-coding RNA, 188 nt
Submitted as: unclassified sequences
Source: Rfam
GUCCUGAGCAAGACAGAAAACUGCUCACCGUCAGGGAAUGCACCGACUGAUCACCGGUGGCUCAACGUUUCCUGACGGCCACAAGUAAAUAUCAUCAGCUGCCUUUUGAGCGGGAAGCUGCAGACCGGAACGGAGAAAUCUCCGUCGGGACUGUGGUUAGGUUUCUAUACCCAUUUUGCAGCUAACCA